RNAcentral lists this ribosomal RNA (561 nucleotides) under uncultured archaeon. Its description in RNAcentral is "bacterial SSU rRNA". It matches the Rfam family "Archaeal small subunit ribosomal RNA", at positions 313 to 879 of the family's 1478-position model. The record is from RNAcentral.
GCGAUUCGCCCUUGGGGUGCAGCAGGCGCGAAAACUUUACAAUGCGGGAAACCGUGAUAAGGGAACUCCGAGUGCCCGUAAAAUCGGGCUGUCCAUCUGUUUAAAUAACAGGUGAAGAAAGGGCCGGGCAAGACCGGUGCCAGCCGCCGCGGUAAUACCGGCGGCUCGAGUGGUGGCCACUAUUACUGGGCUUAAAGCGUUCGUAGCUGGUCUGUUAAGUCUCUGGGGAAAUCUACUGGCUUAACCAAUAGGCGUUUCAGGGAUACUGGCAGACUAGGGACCGGGAGAGGUGAGGGGUACUCCAGGGGUAGGAGUGAAAUCCUGUAAUCCUUGGGGGACCACCUGUGGCGAAGGCGCCUCACCAGAACGGCUCCGACAGUGAGGGACGAAAGCUGGGGGAGCAAACCGGAUUAGAUACCCGGGUAGUCCCAGCCGUAAACGAUGCGCGUUAGGUGUAUCGGUGACCACGAGUCACCGAGGUGCCGAAGAGAAAUCGUGAAACGUGCCGCCUGGGAAGUACGGUCGCAAGGCUGAAACUUAAAGGAAUUGGCGGGGGAGCAC